This 828-nucleotide ribosomal RNA is filed under the name uncultured bacterium. RNAcentral describes it as "bacterial SSU rRNA". It matches the Rfam family "Bacterial small subunit ribosomal RNA", at positions 8 to 808 of the family's 1533-position model. The record is from RNAcentral.
AGAGUUUGAUCCUGGCUCAGGACGAACGCUGGCGGCGUGCCUAAUACAUGCAAGUAGAACGCUGAAGAGAGGAGCUUGCUCUUCUUGGAUGAGUUGCGAACGGGUGAGUAACGCGUAAUCAACCUGCCCUUCAGAGGGGGACAACAGUUGGAAACGACUGCUAAUACCGCAUACGAUCCAACCUCGGCAUCGAGGAUGGAUGAAAGGUGGCCUCUAUUUAUAAGCUAUCACUGAAGGAGGGGAUUGCGUCUGAUUAGCUAGUUGGAGGGGUAACGGCCCACCAAGGCAAUGAUCAGUAGCCGGUCUGAGAGGAUGAACGGCCACAUUGGGACUGAGACACGGCCCAGACUCCUACGGGAGGCAGCAGUGGGGAAUCUUCCGCAAUGGACGAAAGUCUGACGGAGCAACGCCGCGUGAGUGAUGACGGCCUUCGGGUUGUAAAGCUCUGUUAAUCGGGACGAAAGGUCCUCUUGCGAAUAGUUAGAGGAAUUGACGGUACCGGAAUAGAAAGCCACGGCUAACUACGUGCCAGCAGCCGCGGUAAUACGUAGGUGGCAAGCGUUGUCCGGAAUUAUUGGGCGUAAAGCGCGCGCAGGCGGAUCAGUCAGUCUGUCUUAAAAGUUCGGGGCUUAACCCCGUGAUGGGAUGGAAACUGCUGAUCUAGAGUAUCGGAGAGGAAAGUGGAAUUCCUAGUGUAGCGGUGAAAUGCGUAGAUAUUAGGAAGAACACCAGUGGCGAAGGCGACUCUCUGGUCUGUAACUGACGCUGAGGCUCGAAAGCGUGGGUAGCAAACAGGAUUAGAUACCCUGGUAGUCCACGCCGUAAACG